UACAGAGGUCUCAAGCGUUGUUCGGAUUCAUUGGGCGUAAAGGGUGCGUAGGCGGCGCGGUAAGUCGGGUGUGAAAUCUCGGGGCUUAACUCCGAAACUGCAUUCGAUACUGCCGUGCUUGAGGACUGGAGAGGAGACUGGAAUUUACGGUGUAGCGGUGAAAUGCGUAGAUAUCGUAAGGAAGACCAGUGGCGAAGGCGGGUCUCUGGACAGUUCCUGACGCGGAGGCACGAAGGCCAGGGGAGCAAACGGG
This 253-nucleotide ribosomal RNA is filed under the name uncultured bacterium. RNAcentral describes it as "partial 16S ribosomal RNA". It matches the Rfam family "Bacterial small subunit ribosomal RNA", at positions 524 to 776 of the family's 1533-position model. The record is from RNAcentral.